AAGGGUUGUUGACGUUCAUUCCUCCUCCCAGAACGUCGGCAUCAAAGCAACGAACCUCCUCCCUCGUUGCUUUCCUAUCAAACCCGCCGCGAUCCUCCUCCCCGCGGCGGGUUUUUCUU
RNAcentral lists this small RNA (119 nucleotides) under Aquamicrobium sp. LC103. Its description in RNAcentral is "Mesorhizobium sp. LC103 Alphaproteobacterial ar14". It matches the Rfam family "Alphaproteobacterial ar14". Rfam says of the family: Smr14C2 was renamed NfeR1 (Nodule Formation Efficiency RNA) highly expressed in salt stress and during the symbiotic interaction on legume roots. Lineage: Bacteria; Pseudomonadati; Pseudomonadota; Alphaproteobacteria; Hyphomicrobiales; Phyllobacteriaceae. The record is from Rfam by way of RNAcentral.